Molecule: ribosomal RNA, 514 nt
Filed under: uncultured soil bacterium
Lineage: Bacteria
Description: bacterial SSU rRNA
Rfam family: Bacterial small subunit ribosomal RNA
Source: RNAcentral
AGAGUGAACGCUGGCGGUAGGCCUAACACAUGCAAGUCGAACGGCAGCACAGUAGGAGCUUGCUCUUACGGGUGGCGAGUGGCGGACGGGUGAGGAAUACAUCGGAAUCUACCUUUUCGUGGGGGAUAACGUAGGGAAACUUACGCUAAUACCGCAUACGCCCUUCGGGGGAAAGCCGGGGAUCGCAAGACCUGGCGCGGAUAGAUGAGCCGAUGUCGGAUUAGCUAGUUGGUGAGGUAAUGGCUCACCAAGGCGACGAUCCGUAGCUGGUCUGAGAGGAUGAUCAGCCACACUGGAACUGAGACACGGUCCAGACUCCUACGGGAGGCAGCAGUGGGGAAUAGUUGGACAAGUGGGACGCAAGCCUGAUCCAGCCAUACCGCGUGGGUGAAAGAACGGCCGUUGGGUUAGUAACGUCCCGUUUUAGGUUACGGGAAAGAAAACGCGAAAUUACGGUUAAACUACCCGGUUGUUCCGUAGGUACCGGUAACCCGAAAGUAAACGUAACGGACCG